RNAcentral lists this ribosomal RNA (452 nucleotides) under uncultured Bacillus sp. RNAcentral describes it as "bacterial SSU rRNA". It matches the Rfam family "Bacterial small subunit ribosomal RNA", at positions 995 to 1446 of the family's 1533-position model. The record is from RNAcentral. Lineage: Bacteria; Bacillati; Bacillota; Bacilli; Caryophanales; Bacillaceae.
AAACCCUANANNUCUNGCUUCUCCUUCGGGAGCAGAGUGACUNNGUGGUGCAUGGUUGUCGUCAGCUCGUGUCGUGAGAUGUUGGGUUAAGUCCCGCAACGAGCGCAACCCUUGAUCUUAGUUGCCAUCAUUAAGUUGGGCACUCUAAGGUGACUGCCGGUGACAAACCGGAGGAAGGUGGGGAUGACGUCAAAUCAUCAUGCCCCUUAUGACCUGGGCUACACACGUGCUACAAUGGACGGUACAAAGAGCUGCAAGACCGCGAGGUGGAGCUAAUCUCAUAAAACCGUUCUCAGUUCGGAUUGUAGGCUGCAACUCGCCUACAUGAAGCUGGAAUCGCUAGUAAUCGCGGAUCAGCAUGCCGCGGUGAAUACGUUCCCGGGCCUUGUACACACCGCCCGUCACACCACGAGAGUUUGUAACACCCGAAGUCGGUGGGGUAACCUUUUUGG